Molecule: ribosomal RNA, 389 nt
Filed under: uncultured eukaryote
Lineage: Eukaryota
Description: SSU rRNA
Rfam family: Eukaryotic small subunit ribosomal RNA
Source: RNAcentral
AGCUCCAAGAGCGUAUAUUAAAGUUGUUGCAGUUAAAAAGCUCGUAGUUGGAUUUCUGGUACAAUGCGCCUGGCCCGCGAGGGUUACCUCUGUGAGUGCCGGUGCGCGUUUGCCAUCCUUCUAGAAAACGUUUCUACCCUUGAUUGGGCCGGACUCGCGAUCUAGAUCUUUUACUUUGAAAAAAUUAGAGUGUUUAAAGCAGGCUUUUGCUAUGAAUACAUUAGCAUGGAAUAAUAAUCUAGGACUUCGGUUCUAUUUUGUUGGUUUCUAGUACUGAAGUAAUGAUUGAUAGGGAUAGUUGGGGGUGCUAGUAUUGGCCGGCCAGAGGUGAAAUUCUUGGAUUCGGUCAAGACUAACUUAUGCGAAAGCAUUCACCAAGGAUGUCUUCU